GACGAACGCUGGCGGCGUGCUUAACACAUGCAAGUCGUGCGGUAAGGCCCUUUCUGGGGUACACGAGCGGCGCACGGGUGAGUAACACGUGUGCAACCUGCCCUUCUCUUUGGGAUAACUGCCGGAAACGGUGGCUAAUUCCGGAUAUGACUUCCUCACGCAUGUGGGGUGGUGUAAAGCCUUCGGGUGGUGGGGGAUGGGCUCGCGGUCUAUCCGCUUGUUGGUGGGGUGAUGGCCUCCCAAGGCUUAGACGGGUAGCCGGCCUGAGAGGGUGACCGGCGACAAUGGGACUGAGAGACGGCCCAGACUGCUAAGGGAGGCAGCAGGGGGGAAUAUGGGACAAUGGGCGAAAGCCUGAGCAAGAAACGUCGCGUGAGGGAUGAAGGCCUUCGGGGUGUAAACCUCUUUAGCCUGCGACGAAGCGAGAGUGACGGUAGCAGGUAAAGAAGCACCGGCCAACUACGUG
RNAcentral lists this ribosomal RNA (466 nucleotides) under uncultured bacterium. RNAcentral's name for it is "partial 16S ribosomal RNA". It matches the Rfam family "Bacterial small subunit ribosomal RNA", at positions 28 to 507 of the family's 1533-position model. The record is from RNAcentral.